This 253-nucleotide ribosomal RNA is filed under the name uncultured bacterium. RNAcentral's name for it is "partial 16S ribosomal RNA". It matches the Rfam family "Bacterial small subunit ribosomal RNA", at positions 524 to 776 of the family's 1533-position model. The record is from RNAcentral.
UACGUAGGGGGCAAGCGUUGUCCGGAAUCAUUGGGCGUAAAGAGCGUGUAGGCGGCUUGGUAAGUCCGCUGUGAAAGUCCAGGGCUCAACCCUGGAAUGCCGGUGGAAACUGUCAAGCUUGAGUCCGGAAGAGGCGAGUGGAAUUCCUGGUGUAGCGGUGAAAUGCGCAGAUAUCAGGAGGAACACCGGUGGCGAAGGCGGGUCACUGGACCGGAACUGACGCUGAUGCGCGAAAGCGUGGGGAGCAAACGGG